RNAcentral lists this ribosomal RNA (229 nucleotides) under uncultured bacterium. RNAcentral describes it as "partial 16S ribosomal RNA". It matches the Rfam family "Bacterial small subunit ribosomal RNA", at positions 568 to 796 of the family's 1533-position model. The record is from RNAcentral.
AGUGUAGGCGGCUACUUAAGUCGGAUGUGAAAUCCCCGGGCUCAACCUGGGAAUUGCAUUCGAUACUGGGUAGCUAGAGUUUGGUAGAGGUAAGUGGAAUUCCGGGUGUAGCGGUGAAAUGCGUAGAUAUCCGGAGGAACAUCAGUGGCGAAGGCGGCUUACUGGACCAAAACUGACGCUGAGGCUCGAAAGCGUGGGAAGCAAACAGGAUUAGAUACCCUGGUAGUCC